This 439-nucleotide ribosomal RNA is filed under the name uncultured bacterium. RNAcentral's name for it is "partial 16S ribosomal RNA". It matches the Rfam family "Bacterial small subunit ribosomal RNA", at positions 339 to 795 of the family's 1533-position model. The record is from RNAcentral.
CUACGGGGGGCAGCAGUGAGGAAUAUUGCACAAUGGGGGAAACCCUGAUGCAGCAACGCCGCGUGGAGGAUGACGCAUUUCGGUGUGUAAACUCCUUUUAUGAGUCAAGAAAAUGACGGUAGCUCAUGAAUAAGCACCGGCUAACUCCGUGCCAGCAGCCGCGGUAAUAAGGAGGGUGCAAGCGUUACUCGGAAUCACUGGGCGUAAAGGACGCGUAGGCGGGAUGUCAAGUCAGGUGUGAAAUCCUAUGGCUCAACCAUAGAACUGCACUUGAAACUGGCAACCUAGAGUAUGGGAGGGGGAGAUGGAAUUAGUGGUGUAGGGGUAAAAUCCGUAGAUAUCACUAGGAAUACCGAAAGCGAAGGCGAUCUGCUGGAACAUUACUGACGCUAAGGCGCGAAAGCGUGGGGAGCAAACGGGAUUAGAUACCCUCGUAGUC